This 241-nucleotide long non-coding RNA is filed under the name Manihot esculenta (cassava). Its description in RNAcentral is "long non-coding RNA (MESC_LNC005748)". The record is from RNAcentral. Lineage: Eukaryota; Viridiplantae; Streptophyta; Magnoliopsida; Malpighiales; Euphorbiaceae.
AGGGAAGGAGGAGAUGGUUUGCCGUUGAAGCUGAGUUCUGGAUGAACUCAGGUUCGGCAGCCGAAAGUUCAUUCGGCCGCCGAACCUCCUGCAUGGUGGCUUGGUUGCCACAGUUUGCCCCCGAGUGUUUUUGCAUGUUCGGCUCUGUUUGGGGGAUUCGACCGCCGAAGGUGCCGCCGAAGGUGCUUGAGUUUCGUCUCUGGAGAGGACAUUCGGCCGCCGAACCUGCCGCCGAAAGUGU